Molecule: long non-coding RNA, 702 nt
Organism: Magnolia sinica
Lineage: Eukaryota; Viridiplantae; Streptophyta; Magnoliopsida; Magnoliales; Magnoliaceae
Exons: 2
Source: RefSeq, a predicted model, not a curated record
AUGAAAGAGAGCCUCGGAACGAGAAAUACGAAAAUGCAGAAAAUGAAGCUGCUUUGGGCAGUUGUUCGUGUGUUAUGCCUCUUCCUACUCCUUUCUCAGUGCAACUGCCAAAGAGGGCCUGUACCACCUAGCGGUCGGUACAAUGAUUUAGAUAAACCAUCACCACAGCCACCGAGGGGUGGCCCGCCGCAGCGUCCAUGAAAACCAGCGAACCAGAUCUGUGUAGAGCUUCGAAGCAGCCUCUUAUUUGAAGUUUGAAGAUUAAAGGGAUGUUAUGCAAUAAAAUAAAUAAGUUUUUGUUUACCUUCUUAUUAAGGUAUUAUGGAUGAAGUGAUUUAAUAUUUCCAAGACUUCACCGGCACUAAUUGGCGAACACGUCAAUGAUCCAAGCCGUACAUUAGGAUGACCACCUCUUGGAUAGGCUAUUGGUCAAAUCCCAGAUUGAUCGGAUGGUCUGAUCCUCGCGAAAAGUAUCCAUCAAUUGGAUGGUUAGGCCAUGCAAUUUAAUGGAUACUGCAAGCUAAUAAGAGGUGGUUGUUCUGAUUUGGGUUUGGGGAAAUGGCCAAUCUAAGAAGUGGUCAUUCCAAUGGACGGUUCAGAUCAGUUCACCAAUGAAGGUCGGUGACUAUUGGUGAGGGUUUACAUAUAAUAAUUUAUGUAAAUAAAGAGGCAUUCUAGCAAUCAAGCUCUACUCUUUCUACU